GUGGUUUAAUUCGUUGCUACACGAAGAACCUUUACCUGGGUUUGACAUAUAGGUUGUAGGGAACUGAAAGGGACCGACCCUUCGGGGAGCCUAUACAGGUUGUUGCAUGGCUGUCGUCAGCUCGUGUCGUGAGAUGUUCGGUUAAGUCCGCUAACGAGCGCAACCCUCGUCGUAUGUUAUAUGUGUCAUACGAGACUGCCGGUAAAAAGCCGGAGGAAGGUGAGGAUGAUGUCAAGUCAGCAUGACCUUUAUAUCCAGGGCUACACACACGCUACAAUGGUCUGUACAAUGGGUAGCCAAGCCGCGAGGCGGAGCCAAUCCUGAAAGCAGGCCUCAGUUCAGAUUGCAGUCUGCAACUCGACUGCAUGAAGCCGGAGUUGCUAGUAACCGCAGGUCAGCAAUACUGCGGUGAAUACGUUCCCGGGUCUU
Molecule: ribosomal RNA, 429 nt
Filed under: uncultured Anaerolineaceae bacterium
Lineage: Bacteria; Bacillati; Chloroflexota; Anaerolineae; Anaerolineales; Anaerolineaceae
Description: bacterial SSU rRNA
Rfam family: Bacterial small subunit ribosomal RNA
Source: RNAcentral